GUACCCCGGACAGAUGGGAGCUUGCUCCCUGAUGUUAGCGGCGGACGGGUGAGUAACACGUGGGUAACCUGCCUGUAAGACUGGGAUAACUCCGGGAAACCGGGGCUAAUACCGGAUGGUUGUUUGAACCGCAUGGUUCAAACAUAAAAGGUGGCUUCGGCUACCACUUACAGAUGGACCCGCGGCGCAUUAGCUAGUUGGUGAGGUAACGGCUCACCAAGGCAACGAUGCGUAGCCGACCUGAGAGGGUGAUCGGCCACACUGGGACUGAGACACGGCCCAACUCCUACGGGAGGCAGCAGUAGGGAAUCUUCCGCAAUGGACGAAAGUCUGACGGAGCAACGCCGCGUGAGUGAUGAAGGUUUUCGGAUCAAAGCUCUGUUGUUAGGGAA
This 392-nucleotide ribosomal RNA is filed under the name Bacillus subtilis. RNAcentral describes it as "bacterial SSU rRNA". It matches the Rfam family "Bacterial small subunit ribosomal RNA", at positions 57 to 446 of the family's 1533-position model. The record is from RNAcentral. Lineage: Bacteria; Bacillati; Bacillota; Bacilli; Caryophanales; Bacillaceae.